RNAcentral lists this ribosomal RNA (253 nucleotides) under uncultured bacterium. Its description in RNAcentral is "partial 16S ribosomal RNA". It matches the Rfam family "Bacterial small subunit ribosomal RNA", at positions 524 to 776 of the family's 1533-position model. The record is from RNAcentral.
UACGUAGGUGGCAAGCGUUGUCCGGAAUUAUUGGGCGUAAAGCGCGCGCAGGCGGUCUUUUAAGUCUGAUGUGAAAGCCCCCGGCUCAACCGGGGAGGGUCAUUGGAAACUGGGAGACUUGAGUGCAGAAGAGAAGAGUGGAAUUCCACGUGUAGCGGUGAAAUGCGUAGAGAUGUGGAGGAACACCAGUGGCGAAGGCGACUCUUUGGUCUGUAACUGACGCUGAGGCGCGAAAGCGUGGGGAGCAAACGGG